Molecule: unclassified non-coding RNA, 251 nt
Filed under: Glomeraceae sp.
Lineage: Eukaryota; Fungi; Glomeromycota; Glomeromycetes; Glomerales; Glomeraceae
Description: partial contains 5.8S ribosomal RNA and internal transcribed spacer 2
Rfam family: 5.8S ribosomal RNA (bases 1-71)
Source: RNAcentral
GUGAAUCAUCGAAUUUUUGAACGCAAAUUGCACUCUCUGGUAUUCCGGAGAGUAUGCCUGUUUGAGGGUCAGUUAAAUAAAAAUCGAUGUCGUUGCUGCCUUGCGUGGUGACGCAUCGGAUUCGGGUCGUCUUACCUUCGGUUAAGUGACCUAAAAGUGUGCAUGAUUUGUUCGAACGUAUUUAAAUGAUUUUACGUACUUUUGCGAUAUCGAAUACUAGGUGUGGUUAUCCUCUUUAUUCGCGCCUAUAA